GACAGAGGUCCCGAGCGUUAAUCGGAAUUACUGGGCGUAAAGCGUGCGCAGGCGGUUGUGCAAGACCGAUGUGAAAUCCCCGGGCUUAACCUGGGAACUGCAUUUGUGACUGCACGGCUAGAGUGUGUCAGAGGGGGGUAGAAUUCCACGUGUAGCAGUGAAAUGCGUAGAUAUGUGGAGGAAUACCGAUGGCGAAGGCAGCCCCCUGGGAUAACACUGACGCUCAUGCACGAAAGCGUGGGGAGCAAACAGG
Molecule: ribosomal RNA, 253 nt
Filed under: uncultured bacterium
Lineage: Bacteria
Description: partial 16S ribosomal RNA
Rfam family: Bacterial small subunit ribosomal RNA
Source: RNAcentral